Rosa rugosa (rugosa rose) is the source of this 418-nucleotide long non-coding RNA. RefSeq lists it as uncharacterized. The transcript is spliced from 2 exons. Lineage: Eukaryota; Viridiplantae; Streptophyta; Magnoliopsida; Rosales; Rosaceae. The record is from RefSeq and is a predicted model, not a curated record.
CUCAUAAUUCAGAAAAUUCUCUCAAACGUCAAAGCUCUCUCUCCAUCCUCUAGUGCAAUCCACGGUUUUCAAGCAAGGAAGAAGAAGAAGAAGAAGGAGCCGUGAGCAUCAUCAUCCAUCCUCCACCUUGAAGACUUGCUUCCAAGAUUCAAGAAUCCAAACGCCAAGCAUCCAUCCCCUCUCCAUCUCACGGUGUGUACCCUCAAUCCCCGGAAUAGAACAAUCCCUACUUGCUUAUACUACUAAUGAUAUUUUUAGGGUUAAAUUAUGCGCUUGCUUUGAGCGUAUCAGCUAGACAAUCAUAACAUGUUUAACGCAUGAAACACAUAGAAAGGCUAUCAACUCAAGUGUGCAACUUAGUAUGAAAAAGUCCACCUAAUUGCAAUCUUUUUCAAUUAAACUCGGUUUUUGUCCAAAA